RNAcentral lists this transfer RNA (75 nucleotides) under Candidatus Nomurabacteria bacterium RIFCSPHIGHO2_12_FULL_44_22b. Its description in RNAcentral is "tRNA-Arg". It matches the Rfam family "tRNA". Rfam says of the family: Transfer RNA (tRNA) molecules are approximately 80 nucleotides in length. The record is from RNAcentral. RNAcentral also lists the same sequence under 2 other names. Lineage: Bacteria; Candidatus Nomuraibacteriota.
GCACCCGUAGUGAAAUGGAUAUCACAAUAGUCUUCGGAACUAUUAUUGCAAGUUCAAAUCUUGCCGGGUGCACCA